This 19277-nucleotide long non-coding RNA is filed under the name Medicago truncatula (barrel medic). Its description in RNAcentral is "long non-coding RNA (MTRU_LNC005130)". The record is from RNAcentral. Lineage: Eukaryota; Viridiplantae; Streptophyta; Magnoliopsida; Fabales; Fabaceae.
UGGAUUUUUCAAACUUAAUGUGAAUCCAAACAUCCACUAAAACCUCGGUGCUCAAAUUGGAACAGGAUCAACCAACACUUCUUUAAUAAAUGUCUUCAUUAGUCCGUUAGAAUCCGUGUAGUUAUCUUUGUUUUUGUAAAUAACAUCCAUAAAACGCGAAAGAUUGAGAACACAAAUCAUAAAAGGCAUUGGAACUUUGGUUGGCCUAAGACAUUCUUCAUUUAUAUCUUUCCAAACAAUUGUCAUUCUAUUUUUGCAUUCUUGAAUAGCAGCUUCUCUAGACAUAUCAAAUUGCUUCAUAUAACAAUCUAACAAUGAGCAAACAUGUCCUCUUUUCUGUUCAAACUGUACAUUAGCCUGCAAAGAGUUGCAGCGGCGUUAACAAUUUCAUCCAUUAUAUUUUAUAAAUACCUCACUGGAAACAAUUUCAUCCAUUAGCCUGCAAAGAGUUGCAGCGGCGUUAACAAUUCUUGGCUCAUUUGAUACCCAAAUGAAGAUCUCCUUUGUGGAUAUGUCACCCAUACCAAUGUAAGAAGUUAAUAUCAGCAAAGGGUAAGCACCUGAUUUUUUUGAUAUGCGCAUGUACUCUUCUAUUGUUGGUAUAUGGUUUUCAUUCAGCCAUCUCGCCUCUGUCAUAAAUGCUUGGACUGACUUUUUGAACUACCAUCAUUAACAGACAACAAAUUUAAAUACGAGGACACUCAUGUUUCUUAUAUAGGAACCUUUUACUUAAUUAGUCCAAAAAAAGGUUAGCGGUUUCUUGGUCUAUCCUUUUCUUAUUUUAAAAAUCAAGAUCUGAUAUAGAGACUAACUAAUCUAAGGGCUCUCAUCCAACAAUUCACUUGUAUGGACUUGCCCACCGAAAUGGGCAUAGGGGAAAUUGAAAGUGGAUCGUUGAAAGGAGCACACACCAAAAACCCAAGCCAACACCACUGGACACUAACACAAAUGGUUUUUUAAAAGUACAUAUUUAUAUUGUUUUACUUACGAAACUGAACCACAAAGAAGUGAACAGUAGAAAUUCCCAAAAAAUAGUUAAAAGUGCAUAAAAAAAUUUGUGGCCCAUACUCUGUUACUAGUGGGUAAUUAGAAAAAGCAGAAAGUCAUACUUCAGUUUUGUAGUAGGCAAGGGUAUAUAUCCUUCCUUCUUUUCUAAUUUCUUUCUCUAUUUCUUCGUAAACUGUUAAGAAUGAUCUAUAUAUAGGCAGAUCCCUCGACCUCUUAUUGAUUUCUCAACCGUGGCAGCGCAGGCUUUAAAUAUCACGCUUCUGGUAACGCCCUUACCGGACAAGCGUGUUUGGAAGCAUGCUACUGAUGGCGUUCUUACUGCUAGGCUUGCACAUCUGUUUUUACGGCCUACUCUUGUUUGUCUUGAUUGGCCGGCUGUUAUUUGGAGAACUUGCAUUCCUCCCUCACAUUCAUUUGUUUUCUGGAGAAUGAUGUUGUCUAAGCUCCCAACUGAUGAGAACUUACGAAUGCGGGGCUGCACCUUAGUUUCGGUUUGUGUCCUUUGUUUCAAGCAGGCUGAAACAUCAUCUCAUUUAUUUCUUGAAUGUGACUUUGCGGUUUCUGUUUGGAGAUGGUUGAGCGUUAAAUUACAAUGCAAUAUCUCGCUGCUAUCUUUCUCCUCCAUUCUUGAUUGCAUACCGCAGCGCUGCAGCUCUCAGGUUUCAGAUGUAUUUGCUGCUGCCCUCGUUCAUACGGUGCACACUAUUUUGUUGGCAAGAAAUGCAAUUCGGUUCAGCUCUUUAAAAACUACUCUUCAUAACACUUUCGCAAAAAUUUCUACUUUGGUAACCAUGUCGGGUGUAAUUUCUACCGGUAAUUGUGUUAUUGGUGAUGUUGAUUUGUUACAUAGCCUGUUAAUUCCUCCAUCGCACCGUCGUGUUAGGGAUAUUUUUUCAGUUAUUUGGAAGCCUCCAACAAUUACUUGGGUGAAGGCGAACACGGAUGGAUCCGUUAUUAGUAUUAAUUCUUCUUGUGGGGGAAUUUUUAGAGAUUUUACAGGCGCUUACUUGGGCGGCUUUUCUAGCAAUCUUGGAGAGGGAACCGUUUUUGAAGCGGAGCUUACAGGUCUUAUGCUUGCUAUGGAAUAUGCGGCAAGACAUAUGCUUUUAAAAAUCAUUCCGCCAUUCUUAUGCGUUUCAGAAACCGUUGGCAUAAUUGCAUGCAACUUGGUUUAUUUGUUAUCUGUUCUCAUAUUUACAGGGAAGGAAAUUGCUGUGCAGACGCUAUGGCUUCAUUGGGACAUGAAUUGACUGACACUACUUGGUUCCACAUUAUGCCAGUUUCUUUGUCAAUUGAUUUCAGUAGAGAUAGAAAUGGGCUGCCUAACUUUAGAUUUCCGUAGCCUUUUCUGUCUGUUUUUCUGUUUUGUUUUUUGCUUUGUUUUGAGGGUAAUGGCCCAGUCCCCCCUCCUUUGUACAGUUUUCCCUUUUUUAUUAAUAUUACUGCGUAUUGAGAGGCGGUACAGGAUGGGAGCUGCUGUUGUGUGCCAACCUAGUUGGGAUGUUUCAGCUUCUCCCUGAUACCUCACCUCUCUGUUUGCCUAUAUAGAUAUUUAUAGUAAACUUUAAAGAAUUAUACUAAUUCCCAUUAUACGCAUGUUGAACUAAAACUUUUUUAAUAUAUUCUCAAGUUCCUGCAUGUGUUAAAAACCUUUAAAAUAUAUUCUCAAGUUUCGAAAUGUGUUAAUUUGAGCAUUUAUUUUUGAACAUUGUUGACCUAAUUGCCUGUCUUAUUUUAACUCUAGCUACUGGAUCUAGAUUUGUUUUUCUAUAUAUUUAUUUCAUUAAUUUGGCCUGUACAUCAUAUACUAUAAGUUUAAUAUUUAUUUCAACCUCUAAUUUUUAAGGCAAAGCUGUUGGUGUGCGCACGCAACAGUUGACAUGCAUAUAGUAUAUGCAUUCUAAGAAACGUGUGAUAAUUUGAUUAUCUUCAUAAUUAUAAAUAAAUAAGUUCCCCUUUGUGCUUGUUAUCUUUUCAUCAUAUUCCUCUCAACAAAAUAAAAAAUAUUCUUUUCAACUUUUCGUUUUUUUCUUAUAAACUAAAGGAUUAAUUGUUUGAAUUGACCAUGCAAAAUACGCAAUGUUGAAAAAUGACUCUGUAAAAUAAAAAAGAGAGAUUCUUUUAUUUUUUUUACCUUCUAAUAUACGCGUGGUCCAAAAAAAUGAUCUAGAGAGAUUGAAUUUUUUCAUGGUUUUUUUCGGAUAUCUUUAAUUAGGAUGUUAAAACAUGGUUUUACACACAAAAGUUAGAUUUUUCCGACUAGGGACAGAUUUAUCAUGAAAUUUUAUUACCCAUAAUUAUGAAUUUCUUAAACAAUUCAUAAUUAAUUUGUAUCUCAUUUAAAAACUUCAAAAUUUCAUGGUGAAGGUUCUUAUCAUGUUCUAACCAUGCCUACAGAAUUAUAUAACGAAAUUUGAUCCGUCAGUAUAUGCUUACUCGGAACAAAAUUGCAAUUUCGCACGUUUUUGUUGAAAAAUAAUAAUCGAUCGAAACAUCUUUGAAAACCUACGAAAUUUUGCAGAUUCUUUUUUUGUAUUUCUAUAAAUGUCUCUGCAAACAAUCAGCUCAAAAUUAGUUUUUAGGUUAGUGUUUUCAUUUUUUUGUUUUUUGUGUUUUUGAUGCUUUAAAAAUUCAUAAUUAAUUCAACCUUAGUUGAAAAAUUAUAAAUUUUUGUGUAAAGUCAUAUUUUAAUGUCCUAAACAUGCUUGAAAAUAUUCAACCUCUAAGAAGAUUUUUUGGACUUCAACUAUAUUACAAGGUCAAAAGCCUAUACUUGAUGCUUAUUAGGCCAAAAACCACUAUCGAAUAGUGCCCCGAUUAACAUAUGAUUCAAAAGGUAGUGUAUGAUGUAUCGUCAACAAAAUACAAAACUAUCUGUACGCCCACCAAUGAGAAGCUUUAGAUUCCUGAUAAUCUUUAAUGUCUCCGACCAUCAUUACUCUACGAUGGUUGAUGGAUAUAAAAAUUGUUGUACAAAACAGUUUUCUACCGACUCUUUAGGAGUUGUUCCAUAAGUUCUAUGGAAGGAUCCUUAGACCACCACUCAAGUACACAAUUAUUAUCCUUUCAAUACAUCUCACUCUUGCUGUCUUACCUAAAUAAGUGUCGCCGUGUUUGCAAGUGUCUCCCGAAUUGCAAAGCCAUGGUUGCUGCUCGACAAAUGUCAACAUUAUGAUCACUUCAGGUCAUUAGUGAAAAUUAAAUUCUUAAUAAGGAUGAACGAAAAAAUAGUCUGCACGAAACUUUAGCAACAUACAAGGAUAUUUAAUUUUAAUAAAGAAACAAAGACUAGUCUUAAAGCAACCAAACAAUGGCAUUUUUUUUUAAAACAUCAAUUAUUUAUUAAAAAUUAUAUAUUUAAUAUUUAUUAAAUGUACAAAUUCUAAUAUAAACUUACUAUUUACAACUUCUUAAACAUGUGAAAUUUUACACAUUAUGCAAAAAUCCUUAGUUUAUUAAUAUUUUGUUGAGGGAAAGGUUUCAAAUGGAAAAAUGCUUAGUUUAAUGUCCUAAACAUGCUUGAAAAAAUUCAACCUCUAAGAAGAUUUUUUGGACUUCAACUAUAUUACAAGGUCAAAAGCCUAUAUUUGAUGCUUAUUAAGCCAAAAACAACUAUCGAAUAGUGCCUUGAUUAACAUAUGAUCCAAAAGGUAGGGUAUGAUGUAUCGUCAACAAAAUACAAAAUUAUCUUGACGCCCACCAAUGAGAAGCUUUAGAUUCCUGAUAAUCUGUAAUGUCUCCGACCAUCAUUACUCUACGAUGGUUGAUGGUUACAAAAAUUGCCGUACAAAACAGUUUUCUAACGACUCUUUGGGAGUUGUUCCAUUAGUUCUAUGAAAGGAUUCUUAGACCACCACUGAAGUACACUAUUAUUAUACUUUCAAUACUUCUCACUCUUGCUGUCUUACCUAAAUAAAUGUCGCCGUGUUUGCAAGUGUCUCCCGAAUUGCAUAGCCAUGGUUGCUGCUCGACAAAUGUCAACAUUAUGAUCACUUCAAGUCAUUAGUGAAAAUUAAAUUCUUAAUAAGUCUGCACGAAAAAAUAGUCUGCACGGAACUUUAGCAAUAGUCUUUAACGUUUUUUAAAGAAUAUUAUUAGUUUUCAUGUUUUAAAGGAACCAACAAAUGGCAUUUUUUUAAAAACAUCAAUUAUUUAUUAAAAAUGAUAUAUUUAAUAUUUAUUAAAUGUACAAAUUCUAAUAUAAACUUACUAUUUUCAACUUCUUAAACAUGUGACAUUUUAUACAUUAUGAAAAAAAUCCUUAGUUUAUUAAUAUUUUGUUGAGGAAAUGUAUCAAAUGGAAAAAUGCUUAGUUUAUUGAUAUUUUAUUGAGGAACAGUUUCACAAUAUCUAUAAUUAAAUUUAUUGCAUAUGUACAUCCAACAUGUAUAAAUAUCCAUCCGAUAAUUUUUUAAGGUAGGCUUCUGGUGUGCGCAUGCCGUAGUUUAUCACAUAUGCACAUUCUAAAAAACAUAUUCAUAUUUGUAAUCCUCAAACAAGUAAGUUUCCCUCUUAACAUAUUUGUGUUUGUUAAGUUGGUGCUGGGGAAACAUGGAAUGAAUAAUACAUUUUAUCGUUUAAAUAUUUGUCUUGCGUUUUUUUAGGGAUAACAUGUCUCAUGUUAUUUUUACGUAUUCGUUACAAUAUUUGUUUUGCGUUUUUUGUUCAUCGUCAUCAAAGACAAAUAUUUAAUUUACACACUAAUUUUAACUGAUUAUUUAAUGACAAUCAUUUUUCUUAUGCAUGGUUUUUAUUUAUAACACCUCAUAUUCUUUAAUUUCAUUCACAACUAAAACUUCAUUUAUUUUCGAUUAGUUUCAACUAGCGGAAAGACGGGCACGCUACUGCGCUAACGCAUGUGAUCAUUUUAUUCUGUUUGUCAAACUCAUGAUUGAGGAUUAUUUCUUUGUUUAGAACCAAAGAAAAUUUUCGGAACUCAAACUCAUGACUGCGGAUAAUCAAUUAUAUUUAUAAAAGAAAUAAUAAAAAAAUAAAAUCCUUAGUAUUUUUAAUUUUGGGUACAAAUUUAUUUUAACUAUAUUUAGAAUUUCAUUAAUUUGGCAUGUACAUCUACAUAUAUAAGUUUAAUAUUUAUUUCAACCUCUAAUUUUUUAAGGCAAAGCUGUUGGUGUGCGCACGCAACAGUUGACAUGCAUAUAGUAUAUGCAUUCUAAGAAACAUGUGAUAAUUUGAUUAUCUUCAUAAUCUAUCAAUAAAUAAGUUCCCCUUUGUGCUUGUUAUCUUUGCAUCAUUUUCCUCUCAACAAAAUAAAAAAUAUUCUUUUCAUACUUUUCGUUUUUUUUCUUAUAAACUAAAGGAUUAAUUGCUUGAAUUGACCAUGCAAAAUACGCAAUGUUGAAAAAUGACCCUGUAAAAUAAAAAAUAGAUAUUCUAACCCUGUAAUUAGAGAUUCUUUUUUUUUUACCUUAUAAUAUACGCGUGGUCCAAAAAAGUGAUCUAGAGAUUGAAUUUUUUCAUGGUUUUUUUUUUCCAGAUAUCUUUAAUUAGGAUGUUAAGACAUGGUUUUACACACAAAAGUUAGAUUUUUCUAACUAGGGACAGAUUUAUCACGAAUUUUUAUUACCCAUAAUUAUGAAUUUCUUAAACUAUUCAUAAUUAAUUUGUAUCUCAUUUAAAAUCUUCAAAAUUGCAUGGUGAAGGUUCUUAUCUUGUUCUAACCAUGCCUACAGAAUUAUAUAACGGAAUUUGACCCGUGAGUAUACGCUUAUUCGGAAAAAAAUUGCUAUUUUGCACGUUUUUGUUAAAAAAAAAAUAAUCGAUCGAAACAUCUUUGAAAACCUACGAAAUUUUGCAGAUCCUUUUUUUGUGUUUCUAUAGAUGUCUCUGCAAAAAAACAGCUCAAAAUUAGUUUUUAGGUUAGUGUUUUCAUUAUUUUGUUUUUUUUUUUUUGUGUUUCUGAUGCUUUAAAAAUUCAUAAUUAAUUCAACCUUAGUUGAAAAAUUAUAAUUUUUUGUGGAAAGUCGUAUUUUAGUGUCCUAAACAUGCUUGAAAAAAUUCAACCUCUAAGAAGAUUUUUUGGACUUCAACUAUAUUACAAGGUCAAAACCCUAUACUUGAUGCUUAUUAGGCCAAAAACCACUAUCGAAUAGUGCCUUGAUUAACAUAUGAUCCAAAAUGUAGGGUAUGAUGUAUCGUCAACAAAAUACAAAAUUAUCUUGACGCCUACCAAUGAGAAGCUUUAGAUUCCUGAUAAUCUUUAAUGUCUCCGACCAUCAUUACUCUACGAUGGUUGAUGGUUACAAAAUUUGCCGUACAAAACAGUUUUCUAACGACUCUUUGGGAGUUGUUCCAUUAGUUCUAUGAAAGGAUCCUUAGACCACCACUCAAGUACACUAUUAUUAUCCUUUCAAUACUUCUCACUCUUGCUGUCUUACCUAAAUAAGAGUCGCCGUGUUUGCAAGUGUCUCCCGAAUUGGAUAGCCAUGUUUGCGGCUCAACAAAUGUCAGCAUUAUGAUCAUUUCAAGUCAUUAAUGAAAAUUAAAUUCUUAAUAAGUCUGGACGAAAAAAUAGUCUGCACGGAACUUUAGCAAUAGUCUUUAACGUUUUUUAAAGAAUCUUAUUAGUUUUCAUGUCUUAAAGGAACCAAAAAAUGGCAUUUUUUUUAAAACAUCAAUUAUUUAUUAAAAAUGAUAUAUUUAAUAUUUAUUAAAUGUACAAAUUCUAAUAUAAACUUACUAUUUUCAACUUCUUAAACAUGUGACAUUUUAUACAUUAUGAAAAAAAUCCUUAGUUUAUUAAUAUUUUGUUGAGGAAAUGUAUCAAAUGGAAAAAUGCUUAGUUUAUUGAUAUUUUAUUGAGGAACAGUUUCACAAUAUCUAUAAUUAAAUUUAUUGCAUAUGUACAUCCAACAUGUAUAAAUAUCCAUCCGAUAAUUUUUUAAGGUAGGCUUCUGGUGUGCGCAUGCCGUAGUUUAUCACAUAUGCACAUUCUAAAAAACAUAUUCAUAUUUGUAAUCCUCAAACAAGUAAGUUUCCCUCUUAACAUAUUUGUGUUUGUUAAGUUGGUGCUGGGGAAACAUGGAAUGAAUAAUACAUUUUAUCGUUUAAAUAUUUGUCUUGCGUUUUUUUAGGGAUAACAUGUCUCAUGUUAUUUUUACGUAUUCGUUACAAUAUUUGUUUUGCGUUUUUUGUUCAUCGUCAUCAAAGACAAAUAUUUAAUUUACACACUAAUUUUAACUGAUUAUUUAAUGACAAUCAUUUUUCUUAUGCAUGGUUUUUAUUUAUAACACCUCAUAUUCUUUAAUUUCAUUCACAACUAAAACUUCAUUUAUUUUCGAUUAGUUUCAACUAGCGGAAAGACGGGCACGCUACUGCGCUAACGCAUGUGAUCAUUUUAUUCUGUUUGUCAAACUCAUGAUUGAGGAUUAUUUCUUUGUUUAGAACCAAAGAAAAUUUUCGGAACUCAAACUCAUGACUGCGGAUAAUCAAUUAUAUUUAUAAAAGAAAGAAUAAAAAAAUAAAAUCCUUAGUAUUUUUAAUUUUGGGUACAAAUUUGUUUUAACUAUAUUUAGAAUUUCAUUAAUUUGGCAUGUACAUCUACAUAUAUAAGUUUAAUAUUUAUUUCAACCUCUAAUUGUUUAAGGCAAAGCUGUUGGUGUGCGCACGCAACAGUUGACAUGCAUAUAGUAUAUGCAUUGUAAGAAACAUGUGAUAAUUUGAUUAUCUUCAUAAUCUAUAAAUAAAUAAGUUCCCCUUUGUGCUUGUUAUCUUUGCAUCAUUUUCCUUUCAACAAAAUAAAAAAAUAUUCUUUUCAUACUUUUCGUUUUUUUUUCUUAUAAACUAAAGGAUUAAUUGUUUGAAUUGACCAUGCAAAAUACGCAAUGUUGGAAAAUGACCCUGUAAAAUAAAAAAUAGAUAUUCUAACCCUGUAAUUAGAGAUUCCUUUUUUUUUACCUUAUAAUAUACGCGUGGUCCAAAAAAGUGAUCUAGAGAUUGAAUUUUUUCAUGGUUUUUUUUUUCCAGAUAUCUUUAAUCAGGAUGUUAAGACAUGGUUUUACACACAAAAGUUAGAUUUUUCUGACUAGGGACAGAUUUAUCACGAAUUUUUAUUACCCAUAAUUAUGAAUUUCUUAAACUAUUCAUAAUUAAUUUGUAUCUCAUUUAAAAUCUUCAAAAUUGCAUGGUGAAGGUUCUUAUCAUGUUCUAACUAUGCCUACAGAAUUAUAUAACGGAAUUUGACGCGUGAGUAUACGCUUACUCGGAAAAAAAUUGCUAUUUCGCACGUUUUUGUUAAAAAAAAAAUAAUCGAUCGAAACAUCUUUGAAAAUCUACGAAAUUGUGCAGAUCCUUUUUUUGUAUUUCUAUAGAUGUCUCUGCAAAAAAACAGCUCAAAAUUAGUGUUUUCAUUAUUUUGUUUUUUUUUUGUGUUUCUGAUGCUUUAAAAAUUCAUAAUUAAUUCAAUCUUAGUUGAAAAAUUAUAAUUUUUUGUGGAAAGUCGUAUUUUAGUGUCCUAAACAUGCUUGAAAAAAUUCAACCUCUAAGAAGAUUUUUUGGACUUCAACUAUAUUACAAGGUCAAAACCCUAUACUUGAUGCUUAUUAGGCCAAAAACCACUAUCGAAUAGUGCCUUGAUUAACAUAUGAUCCAAAAGGUAGGGUAUGAUGUAUCGUCAACAAAAUACAAAAUUAUCUUGACGCCCAACAAUGAGAAGCUUUAGAUUCCUGAUAAUCUUUAAUGUCUCCGACCAUCAUUACUCUACGAUGGUUGAUGGUUACAAAAUUUGCCGUACAAAACAGUUUUCUAACGACUCUUUGGGAUUUGUUCCAUUAGUUCUAUGAAAGGAUCCUUAGACCACCAUUCAAGUACACUAUUAUUAUCCUUUCAAUACUUCUCACUCUUGUUGUCUUACCUAAAUAAGUGUCGCCGUGUUUGCAAGUGUCUCCCGAAUUGCAUAGUCAUGGUUGCUGCUCGACAAAUGUCAGCAUUAUGAUCAUUUCAAGUCAUUAGUGAAAAUUAAAUUCUUAAUAAGUCUGCACGAAAAAAUAGUCUGCACGGAACUUUAGCAAUAGUCUUUAACGUUUUUUAAAGAAUCUUAUUAGUUUUCAUGUCUUAAAGGAACCAAAAAAUGGCAUUUUUUUUUUUAAACAUCAAUUAUUUAUUAAAAAUGAUAUAUUUAAUUUUUAUUAAAUGUACAAAUUCUAAUAUAAACUUACUAUUUUCAACUUCUUAAACAUGUGACAUUUUAUACAUUAUGAAAAAAAUCCUUAGUUUAUUAAUAUUUUGUUGAGGAAAGGUAUCAAAUGGAAAAAAGCUUAGUUUAUUGAUAUUUUGUUGAGGAACAGUUUCAUAAUAUCUAUAAUUAAAUUUAUUGCAUAUGUACAUCCAACAUGUAUAAAUAUCCAUCCGAUAAUUUUUUAAGGUAGGCUUCCGGUGUGCGCAUGCCGUAGUUUAUCACAUAUUCACAUUCUAAAAAACAUAUUCUUAUUCGUAAUCCUUAAACAAAUAAGUUUCCCUAUUAACAUAUUUGUGUUUGUUAAGUUGGUGCUGGGAAAACAUGGAAUGAAUAAUACAAUUUAUCGUUUAAAUUAUUUGUGUUGCGUUUUUUUAGGGAUAACAUGUUUCAUGUUAUUUUUACGUAUUCAUUACAAUAUCUGUCUUGGGUUUUUUCUUCAUCUUCAUCAAAGACAAAUAUUUAAUUUAUACACUUAUUUUAACUGAUUUUGCAUGCAAGCAGCUGAAUCUUCACAACAUAUAUUUUUUGACUGUCUUGUCACAUAUCAGCUUUCGGAGUGGCUUGGAAAGGGGACAGACCAGAUUUUGGACUGUGCAAAUUGGUGUCAGCUUCUUAUGGGGAGAGUUGGCAUCUGAAGUAAACUUGACCAUCAGACUUUGAGUUCUGCUAUAAUUCACACCUUAGGGGCCAUUUGGAUUGAAAGAAAUCAACGGUACUUUCAUGGCAAGAAACACGCCAUGACCACACUUUUUAACAUUGUUCUGGCAGAAGUAAAAUUAAGCUACACCUUAAGUUUGGCUAAGGUGAGUCUGCUAUGCUAGACUACAAAAUAGCAAAACUGUUCAGAAUUCCUUUCAAAAUCCAGAGAGUUGUUUUGGUGUCUGAAGUGGUUUGGAGCCCUCCCUAUGAAGGAGUCAUCAAGCUUAAUUGUGAUGGCUCAUCUGUAGGUACCCAGCCUUGUGGCUCUAUUGGAGUUGUUCUCGGAGACUCUCUCUCUACUUUUCUUGGGGCCAUAUCCAGCAACAUAGGCUAUGCUACACCUUUAGAAGACGAGUUUAGUGCUUGUAUGCUAGCUAUUGAGAAGGUCAAUGCGCUUCAUCUAUCUCAUAUUUGUCUGGAAACUGAUUCAUUAAGUGUGGUCAAGGCCUACAAUAAGGAUAUGGGCAUACCUCGGCAGAUGAGGGCCAGAUGGAUAAACAGCAGGAAAUUUUGUGACAACAUUUCAUGUACUUGCAAGUUCAUAGAGAGGGCAAUAUGGUAGCAGAUGCAUUAGCUAAAAACGGACAGGGCCUCUCUUGGCAUUCCACUCAAUGGUAGCCUUCAACACCUUCUUUCAUCUUUGCUCUUCUAUCUAGAGACAUAUUAGGAUUUUUUUUUUUCUUUCUAGAAUGCAUAUGUCUUGAUUCUUUCUUCCCUUCUGCUUACUUUGAGAAGGGUUUGGAUUUGCUUUGUUGUUUUUUUUUUUUUUUUUUACUGUUUUGAUUUCUAUUUUGUAAAAGGUUCAGACCUCUCCUGGGUUUAUAUUGCAUUGUUAACUUUAUCAAAAAAAAAAAAAACUGAUUAUUCAAUGACAAUCAUUUUUCUUAUGCAUGGUUUUUAUUUAUAACACCACAUAUUCUUUAAUUUCAUUCACAACUAAAACUUCAUUUAUUUCCCAUUAGUUACAACUAGCGGAAUGACGGGCACUAUCGUGCCCGUUUGUACGCUCUUUCUACUGCACUAACACAUGUGAUUAUUUUAUUAUGUUUGUUUGUAUAGUUUUGAUUAAAAAUUUUAAAUUUUUAAAUAUUAUGAAAAUUAUUGAUAUAUUGAUUUAUAAAAAAAAUAUUGUCAAGGCAUAUAACAAAAUUAUUUUUGAACUCAACAUAUUUUAGUUUUCCUGCAUAUAAAAUUAAGGUAAAAUAAUGAUCAUUUAUUGUUUAUUCUAAUAGUAAUUAGUUACAUCAUAACAUAAGUGUGUUAUGUAAAAGAAACAUCAUAAAUAAAUGUAUAAAUGACAUGUUAUGUAAAAGAAACAUUGAUAUGAUUGCAAUAAAAGAAUAUCUUUAAAAACUACAUUUUUCGUAAAGUCUCCAUCUUCCCCUUCUAUUUUCCUUUCUUUAAUGAGAACUUUUGUUGAAUUUUGAGAAACUCCUCUUGAAAAGGCUACAUAUAAUUGACCAUGGCUGAAAACAUGCCGUGGAAAAUAGAUUCCGACAUUGAAAAUGGUCUGCCUUUGUGACUUAUUUAUGGUAAUAGAAAAAGUUAGUUUAACAGGAAACUGUUUUCUUCUAAGCACAAUGGGAAGUCAUGAACUCACAUUUGUUUUUCAUUUAAUUCUGGACAAAAAUGCUCUUUUUCCAGCAUUGCUUCCUGUUAAGAUUUCCACAUUCAACAUAUUCUUAAAUAAACCACGACAUAAAAUCGCGUUCCAUUACACAGGCCAUAUCUAGGGUCUAUGUUUCGCAACAACAUCAAAGGUGCACCUUUUUUUUAUCUUUAAAAUAUGUGAUGGGAUUCUUCCUUGAGCAGUUGAGUUUAAAAAUUCAUGUUGAUAUAAGUUAUGAGUAUUCCCUUCAACCUCGUUAAAUGACAACAAAUUAUGUUAUUCUCCUGGAAACUAAUUGAUAAUUAUGUUAUUAAUUAUUGAACAUCAUCAUUUGUAAGUGUAAUUAUGGCUCUUUCAACCAUAUAUAAAUUAUGAUAUUACUCCUCGCCUAUGAAUCACAUACAUUCGUCAUAUUAGAUGUGUCUGAACACGUGUUGCAUCCGUAUCCCGUAUCCACUAAUAUAAUUACCCUAAAUUAUGUGAUUCUCUCAAAUUAUCAAAGUUACUGGCGUGUCAGUAUCCAUGUUGUAUUUGGUGUCGGUGUUCGUAUCCAUACUCUUAGCGGUCUUCUCUUUUUAUGGUCUCUCAAAUGGUGGCUUGAAAGUAACCAAAAACAAAAGAUGGUGGUUUGAAGCUUUCUAGUGUUUCUGUUUUUAGUUGUUGGUAACAUGAGUGUGAUUAUCGUUUAACAAUUUUGUAUUGUUUAAAUGGUUUUAACACUUUGAUUUCACUAUAUUUUAUUGGAUAUUGAACGGGGGGCAUGGGAGCAGUUUAUCAAUUGUAUACAUGCAGAACGUUUGGAAUCACAAAUGAAAAAGCAAUGCUUUUAUUCCUUUAAAUAGCAGUGGAAGGAGCUUAACGGAAGGUGAUGUUAUUACUUAUUUUCCCUUUAUUUAAUAAUUAAAAAAAACCACAGUUCUCUUUAUAUAUAAAAAAAAGUCACGCUAUCAUAGUUUGUAUAAGCAAUUAUAAACCAACAAAGUCAAAUAAUUCUUAAAAUUAAUCAUAAAUAAUUUGAAUCAUAAUCGCUUAUAAACCAGCAAAGUCAAAUAUAUAAUCCAUAAAAUUAAUCGACUUUGAUUAGUUGUAACAUGAAAGAAAAAGAAAAAAAAAACUUAACAGGUUAAUUCCGAAUUCUGAUGCAGAGGGGUUGAGAGACGUUGAGAAAAACUAAACAAUACGGGAACGGACUAUUAACUAUGAGAACUCUACUUAUUAAUAUUUAUUAUAGUGCUAACAAAACUUUUUCUAAAAUAUUUUGAGUCCUAUAAUAUUUUUUUAGAGGAUUUAAAGUCCAAACAUUAACAUUAUUUUUUGCUCACGUUUGUUAUUAAUAUUUUUUUACAAGAUUUAAAGUAUAAUCUUUAACAUUAUAUUUUGUCCACGUUUGUUACUAAUCUUUAAAGUCCACGUCCGAGGGUAACCCUGCUGCCUUGGGAAAACUUAAUUUGGAGCUCCUCUAUUCCGCCUUCUCACUCAUUUAUUUAUUGGAGAUUCCACCAUGGUAAGAUGCCCACGGACGAAAACCUUAGGAGUCGUGGCUGCAAUGUUGUAUCAAUUUGUAAUUUAUGCUUGAAAUCUGAAGAAACACCCGAGCAUCUGUUUCUUCGAUGCCAAUUUUCUAAGAAGCUUUGGGAGUGGUUUGGUGGUAAUCUCAAUCGGCCAAUUGACUGUUCAACAGCUGAUUCGCUUCUCUCUUGUGUUCCGGCGAGUUGCUCUUCCCAAGUGUCUGAUGUUUUUGUGGCAGCAAUCGUGCACACUCUGCACACUAUUUGAUGGGUUAGGAAUUCUUUGCGUUUUACAUCAUUCUCGCCUUCUUUACAUUCAGCCAAAGUUCGUAUUCACCAUUUGGUUGCAUCGUCUGGUAACCUCUCUAAAGGUAAGUUUUGCAAUCUUAUUUUGCUUUCCUUGAUGCUUUGGCGGUUUCCAUUCAUUGCCGCACUGUCAGAGAUAUUAUUAUGGUUCUAUGGAAGCCACCAUCUGCUCCGUGGCUGAAAGUUAACACAGAUGGGUCGGUGGUGGGUGGUUUCGCGGCUUGUGGUGGUCUGUUUCGUGACCACUUAGGUACGUUUCUUGGGGCCUUUUCUUGUAACGUUGGUAUACAGUCUGUUUAUUAUGCAGAGGUUCUUGCUAUUAUUUUAGCUAUGGAGUUUGCGGACCAGAAAGGGUGGAGGAAUAUUUGGAUUGAGGGUGAUUCAACAAGUGCUCUUAUGAUAUUUUCGAACCAUACCUUGGUGCCUAUGAUGCUGCGUAAUAGAUGGCAUAAUGCUAUCACUCUUGGAAUACAAGUUAUUUCUUCUCCCAUUUUCCGUGAAGGCAACUGUUGUGCAGAUAAAUUAGCUAAUUUGGGGCAUUCCAUGAUUGGUGAGGUUUGGCUUGACACACUGCCGAAUGAUUUGAAGGCUGAUUUUUUUCGUGAUAGAUGCGGUCUCCCUAAUUACAGAUUUCCAUAAUCUUUUUUCUGUAUUUGUCUGCUUUCUGUUUAUUUUUCUGUUGCGUUUUCUUUGGCUUCUUGGAGGGUUUUGGUCUAGACCCCCCUCCUUUUGUAAAUAUUUUUUCCCCUUUUUUUAAUAAAUUUUUGUUGAGUGUGGCGGUAUACGACGGUGGUAUCUUGGGGUGCCAACCUAGUUGGGAUGUCGAUGACGUCUCCUGAUGGCUGACUUCACUCCUUGCUUAUCAAAAAAAGUCCAAUCUUUAACAUUAUUUUUUUCUCACGUUUGUUACUAAUAUUUUUUUAGAGGAUUUAAAGUCCAAUCUUUAACAUUAUUUUUUGCUCAUGUUUGUUACUAAUUUUUUUUAGAGGAUUUAAAGUCCAAUCUUUAACAAUAUUUUUUGCUCACGUUUGUUACUAAUCUUUUUUUAGAUGAUUUAAAGUCCAAUCAUUAACAAUAUUUUUUGCUCACGUUUGUUACUAAUCUCUUUUUUAGAGGAUUAAAAGUCCAAUCUUCAACAUUAUUUUCUGCUCUCGUUUGUUACAAUUGAUCAAAGGCUAAGGAAGAGUAACUUAUGUAACAUCCCGUUUUCCCAACUUGAAAAUUUCAUAUAUAAAUCAGAUUAUUUCAACAUAAACGGAAUGUCACACUUCUUUUCAUAAAAUCAUAAACAGAAUAAAAUAACUAUUUAUCUUUCAAAUUCAACAAUAUAUCAUUUAUUACAUCGCAGCGGAAAUUAUUUCAACGUUUAAAACAACCUUGGCACAAAGGCCUGAAUGUAAAUUCUCAUAAAAUAAUUCCAACAACAUGUUCAUGAAAGUUCAUAAAAUAAUACGUAAGGAAUAGAAAGCAACAACAAAAUUCCCAUCCCGUUACGUAUCAGAGCAACCCUAAGACGACGACACGUGAGAGAGUCCUCUCACUUCAACAACUAUUCUUGAUUUCCUGCAAGUUACCCAAUUGUAAAGGCAACAUUUCCAAGCAGAAGGGGUGAGAUUUCACAUUCAAUAAUAAUAAGCAUAUAAUUCAUCAAAUGCAUUUAACAACUUAAGCUUCAUCAAUUAAUAACAUUAACUCUUCAUAUAAUACUUCAUUAAAUAAUCGAUCAACUUCUAGUCAUCAUUAAUAUCAUAUUCAUCACCUCUUAUACAUUCAUCAUAUAACAACAUAAUCAUCACAUCAUAACAUCAUCAUGUAACAUAAACAUCACAUCAUAAACAUCAUCUUAUAACAUCAUAUACUUCACAUCAUAAACAUCAUCAUAUAACAACAUAAACAAAAACGAUUAAAAAAUAUUAAUACUUCAAAUAGUUAUUCAUUAACAACUCAUUGAUAAAUUACAACUUAACGACAACGACAAUGCGACUUCAACAACUUAAACUCGACAAAUGCAACUUCAACUUCUUAAUCAUGCAUGUGGUACCAACCAGAGCAUCAAGCCCCCAACGUAUUGAGCGUAAAUAGGCUCAUAGGGCAUCAAGCCCUCAACGUAUUGAGCGUAAAUAGGCUCACAGGGCAUCAAGCCCUCAACUUACAGGGCAUCAAGCCCUCAACAUAAUAUGUAUAAAUAUACAUUACAGGGCAUCAAGCCCUCAACUUGAAUGAGUAUGCAUGGACUCAACGUCUUACAACUUAGAAACAUCGACCUCUUAUAUAAAUCUAAUAAUUUGGAACAACAUCUUUCAUCUUAGACCGACUCAUGCAGUUUAAUUAAUAUACAACAACAACAUAGGCAACACAUAAACAUCUCAAGAUAUAACAAUGUCAAAUAAUAAUCAAUCAUCAACUUAAGCAUAUUAUAUAAUUCACAUAAUGCAUAUACAAAUAUAUCACAUUACUAACAACAUCAAAUCAUAUUCAUCAACAUAUACAUUCAUAUAAUAAUUCAUCAAUCAUAAACAACAUCAUAUAACAUCAUAUUCAUCAACAUAUACAUUCAUAUAGAUAUUAAAUCAUCCAACAAGGAUAUUCACAUCAAACCAAAUUAGAUCCAUCACCACGUAGGUUAAAUACUCUUAAACCCCUUAAUUAAAAUCCUAAUACUUCUAAUUUUGAGUUUUGGAAUUAUUCCAUAAGUUAUGGAUUAACUUAGAAACGGUUAUGCUGAAUUUUCAUAAAAUUUUAUUAAGACCUACUUGGAGUAUUUUCAUCAUAUCUCAAGAACCAAAAAUCUUUUUCACGUCACACCGAAGCUACUGGAAAGCUAACUCAAUUAUCUACAACUUUCAUGUUUACACCAAAGGCCAAUUCCAAACGGAAACGUGUGAAAAAUACGCAAGAACAUGAAAUAGGACGUGUUGUCAGAGAGCAACUCGGGAAAACCCCACUUUUCACCCCAAAAUACCAAUUUUAACUUCUCUAUGCCAAAAUUUGAUCCAAAAACUUGUCUAACCAUUUCUAUACAUGUUAAGGCACUCAAAACCAUAUAAAACAUUGCACUAAAAAUAAUCCAUGAUCUGAACAUCAAUUCUACACAAAUUCAACGGAUUUUCUACUCUAUUAACAACCAAUUACAACUUCAAAACCUAAUUCCCAAAUUUCCAUAACUACAACCUACAACAUGCUAAACUCAAUUUCAGAAUUAUACAACUUAGAAUUAGAGAAAGUUAGUCCCACACUUACCUUAACAAAUCGAUCCUUGGUUUUCUGACUUCUCACUUUCUCCCUUUAUCUCCCAAAAACAGUUUGCACCUUAUUUUUUAAUUCUAACUCUCCCCUUUUAUAUAAAUCCUUAACCUUCUUAUUUUCUCUUAUUUCCAAAUAUGCCCUUCAAGUCUCAAUGUUCUAUUCUAAUAUAUAUAUAUAUAUAUAUAUAUAUAUAUAUAUAUAUAUAUAUAUAUAAUAUUUCUAUAACAAAUAACAAUUAUCUCUAUAAGAAAUAUAUUUCUAUAACAUAUAUAUAUUUCUACACCAAAUAAGAAAUAUAUUUCUACACCAGAUAACAUAUAUUUCUACACAAAACAACAUAUAUUUCUACAACAAAUAACUUAUAUUUCUACAACAAAUAACAUAAUAUUUCUACACAAAAUAACAUAUAUUUCUACAAUAAAUAACAUAUAUAUUCUACAACAAAUAACAUGUAUUUCUACAACAAAUAACAUAAUAUUUCUACUUAUUCAACUAAACUCUUCUAAUUUCCAAAACAGCCCCCACAACUUAAUCUUAUUUUAUUUUCAAAUCUUAUUCUAUUAAAUAAUAAAAUAAGCCACUUAAUAAAUCAACAACACCUCACAAAAACCAUAUAAAUCACAAAAGUCAUAAAAAUAGACUAUAAACUCAAUAAAAUAAAUAAAUAUUAAAAUAGUGCAUUACAACUUAUAUUAAUAAAAUAAUAAAAUAAUCUGGAAAUAUUGUUUUUUGUGGAAGUAAUAAAAUAAUAUGGAAAUAUUGUUUUUUGUGGAAGGGAUAUGAAAAUAUUUGGCAAUCUUUGUGGGUUGUAUUGAGGCGAACAACACAGAUGUACAACAUAAAAUCGGCUGAUAAAAAGGUAACUUGAGUUUUUGUUUUGUGCUAGUUUUUUGUGAGUUUGAUUUGUGGUUAACGGAGGUAAAAGAAAGUUAACGGGGACGAUUAGUGACAUGGAUUAGUAAUCUACUUGUUAUUUUAUAAUUGCCUAAUAGUAAGAACAAUUCAUAAGGAAUUGUGUGUAAGUUUUCUCUUUAAAAUUAAAUUUAUUCUUAUAUAUUUGUUAUAUGGGUUAUUUGUAUUUAAAAUUAAAAUAAAAAAUUAAGGGAAUUUUUGGAAAGAAAAGUCCAACCCAAAAGCGUGCUGAAAGGGAUUGUUUACUUUAUAUAUAAUAUAGAUAACACAUUACCAUACAACUCACCCGCACGACGCAUGGAUGUACGAUCUAGUUUCUUUUUAUUCAUGAAAAUGAAAUCCCACACACGAAAUACAAACAUUGAAUCCUUAUUCAAAAUUGAAAUAUAAAGAACAUAAAAACAAAUUUUUUGAUUGGAAUUAUUUUAAGCUUCAUAAUAUCAAGGCGUGUCAUAUACUUGUUGGCAAUUACUCCACUUUUGAACUUUAAGAAAAUUCAUGUGCCACUUGGAUUUUUCAAACUUAAUGUGAAUUCAAACAUCCACUAAACCCUCGGUGCUCAAAUUGGAACAGGAUCAACCAACACUUCUUUAAUACAAGUCUUCAUUAGUCUGUUAGAAUCUGUGUAGUUAUCUUCGUUUUUGUAAACAACAUCCAUAAAACGCGAAAGGUUAAGAACACAAGUCAUAAAAGGCAUUGGAACUUUGGUUGGCCUAAGACAUUCUUCAUUUAUAUCUUUCCAAACAAUUGUCAUUCUAUUUUUGCAUUCUUGAAUAGCAGCUUCUCUCGACAUAUC